CUAGACAUUUUAGGGCUAAUUUGUUGUAUAGUUCGAAUACUUGUUUUUUUUUUUUUACAGCCCAAAUUAAAAUAAGCCCAACAUAUUAAUGUACUCAUAUUCUUUCUCACUUCAUUAACCCUAAAAUCUCACAGCCUCCAUUACUUUGAAUCACAUACUCUCUUAGAUCUCACCCCUUCACUAGUCACCCCUCCAUCACGGCGGCUCCGUUCAAGUGUUCUCCACUCGGAUUCUCCUUUCAAGCAGCCUCGCUCAUAUUAUUAAAUAUUGGUAAUGGAUGAACCUAUGGAUGAUGAAAGUGAUGCGGGUGUUGGGAAUGCAACAAGCGAACCAAUCACAGUUGGCGAUAAGAGGAAGUCUGAGUUUUGGUCUUUUGGAGCCAUUUAUCGGACAUUAGAGAUCCGAAAACCAAAAAAAUAAUCAAGAUUAGAUGCAAAUAUUGUGAGAUAAUUUUUUGGAACUUUAUUAUCAGGACAUUAUUAAUUAUGUUUAGGGACAUUAAACUUGUAAUUUUGAUGAUGUUGUCAGUUUGUU
Molecule: long non-coding RNA, 534 nt
Organism: Chenopodium quinoa (quinoa)
Lineage: Eukaryota; Viridiplantae; Streptophyta; Magnoliopsida; Caryophyllales; Amaranthaceae
Exons: 2
Source: RefSeq, a predicted model, not a curated record